UUACGGCUAUAUCACGUUGAAACACCGGUUCUCGUACGAUCCCUGAAGUUAAGCAACGUCAAGCUUGGUCAGUACCUUGGCGCGUAGCUCCUUGGGAAUUCCAGAUGCUGGAA
This is a non-coding RNA of Acanthosepion pharaonis, 113 nucleotides long. Lineage: Eukaryota; Metazoa; Mollusca; Cephalopoda; Sepiida; Sepiidae. The record is from the annotation of a GenBank genome assembly.